RNAcentral lists this transfer RNA (57 nucleotides) under Sacculina sp. 'Beibu Gulf'. RNAcentral's name for it is "tRNA-Ser". Lineage: Eukaryota; Metazoa; Arthropoda; Thecostraca; Sacculinidae. The record is from RNAcentral.
AAGUUAUGUAUUAAGUGUUUUGAACACACUGUUCACUUAUAAAUUAAGUAUAACUUU